Molecule: long non-coding RNA, 2250 nt
Filed under: Zea mays
Lineage: Eukaryota; Viridiplantae; Streptophyta; Magnoliopsida; Poales; Poaceae
Description: long non-coding RNA (ZMAY_LNC005587)
Source: RNAcentral
GAGACGACGGCCUAGACCUCUCACGAACACAUCGCAGCAUCCUCCAAGCGCCUCAUCCUGCGGUACCUGUUCUUGACCUGUGGGGGGGGUGUGAGACAGCAAGAGUGAGCUCACAUACGUUCAUCGCUCAACAAGUUGUGGGGAAUAAUGUGCAUGAACUCGCCAAAGGUGGGAGCUCACGUGAAGUGUAAGGCUUACCAAAGAGGAUGGUUAGAGCUGAGCAUUGCUUUUAAAGUUGGUCAAAAUUUUAUUAGCAAUUACUAAGUAUAAGUAAAUACCAACCCAAUUAAGUAGUAGAACAAAAGUAACAACCUCACCUGCGAUGCAAUGCAUAUGACAAAAUUGAGUUUAAGUUCCAUAAUUUAAUCAUGUGAGUGUCCGAGCUGCUCAUGACCGUGAGCACGGCUAGUAUACCAGUUUUACACUCUGCAGAGGUUGCGCAUCUUUACCCACAAGUCAUGUUACCCAUCUGCCAAGGGAUCGCGACUUCCCAUACACCUCUACCGAGGAGGCGAGGCAGGGUAACACUACGAGGCCUUUACAAAGUUCCACUAGCUUCAGAAAACCCGCUACAGUUUAUAGGAAGCUCCAAUGCAGGAAUCCCUUGCAGGACCGCCAUCGCAGCAAAAUCCUCCCGAGGGCCUCCCUACACUGACCACUCCCCUACUGCCCUUGCCCCUUUCGGGUAAGGUAGUCUUCCACUAGCUUUCCUAAUUAAUCGGCCAAGGGCGUCCCAUUAAACCCUUGUGGUAGCACUGUUUUCCCGGGUGGUUCUCCAUGUUCCAAUUAACAUAAUGAUCUUAUCAUGAACAGUAAAUAGCAACUGAUAACAAAAGUAUGAAUAAUAUAUAUCUCAAUGCCCAAAUCCACAUAUAGCACUAGCAAGUACUACCCAGAAAGUUUAGUGGUAAACAAGGCAUAAAGAUAAACAAACUAGGGUAACCUAUUAGGUCCCAUCAAAUUAACCUAUGCAGAUCAUUAUGAUUAAUUAGAACAUGAGUGGGUAAAAGAAGUGAUCAAGGGCACAACUUGCCUGGGACUUGAGAUUCCAGGUACCAGGAUGAUCUUCAGGUGACUCGUAACCUCGCGCUAGUCGUAUCAAUACAGACAACAUGGCAUAGGCAGAAUUAACAUCACACCAAACAUAAGAAUAAACUAUGUAAUAAUAAUCUACACUGCGUAACGAGAUCGUAGAAACAAGAACCACUAAAUUCGGAGCUACGGUUAUAAAGUUAUGAAUUUUCGAAAUUAUUUAGUGCUUAGAAUAGAUUAAUCCAAAUGAACAAUUUUAAUUCAAGUUUCAUGGCUAAACAGUGGCAUUAGAUGAUGAAAAAUAUUCAAAUAAAAUUAUUGCAAAUGAAAUGACUCAAUUUGCAGUUAAAAUGAAUUCAUUAUGAAUUUCACAAGUUUCUGGCAUUUAUUUUCACAUUAAAAAUCAUUUUCUAAUUGGAUUUUCUAAUUCUCUGGACUGGGCACCAAAUUCUGGAAAAUACAGGGAAUGUUCCUAAGACUCAUUGAGCAGUACUGGUGGACGGCGGGUUCAUUCUGCAAUUCUUUAAGGGCUCCUCUGCAAAACAACUGCGCUGAAGGGGUAUCCUCUUUUCUCGGACGUUGGAUCUAGAUUGGAUGGCUCAAAUUUAAAUAAACGAAGAGGUAAGUUGAGUCUAAUCUAAGACGCUCAUUAUCAUUCGGAUGGUCCAGAUUGGAUCGCCCAGGGGUAUGUGCGAUUAAAUCUGCACCGCCCAUCUAAGAUCCCGCGGAUGCCACAUGCACUACCCUCUGUCUAAUCACGAGCGUCUGUUAACAGAUCGACGGCCAGCACAUCAUCUUCCCCAACGGGUCUACUCGCCGACGCGCUCCAGGGAAAAUACGCGGUCACCGACGACGGCGGAAACGCCAUCGGCUCCCCACUAUCGACCGCCUUUGCUAUCGCUCUCAGAUCAACGCCGGGGUAAUGGUGGCGCCGCGCCCCGCCACGACGAGCUAGCAAUCGGCUUCAACAGCGGUAUGCACGCUACGCUAAUGAUGGUACGCCGAGCAGGUGCGAGGGAGGGGAGUCACUUACCGAAGAGCUGCCCAGCCGUCGCUGCUUCCGAUAAGUCUACGUGCGCCGUCCCUGCAUGACUCCGUCCCCGGCUUUCCGCGAUGAGGCACAGGCCCUCGCGCUGGUGCUCCCCACUGGCAGCAAUUCGUCUUCACCUUCCUGGCAGGCGAGCGGGGCGCAGACGAAGGUUACUGGUGAUGGCUCCC